Molecule: ribosomal RNA, 468 nt
Filed under: uncultured bacterium
Lineage: Bacteria
Description: partial 16S ribosomal RNA
Rfam family: Bacterial small subunit ribosomal RNA
Source: RNAcentral
GACGAACGCUGGCGGCGUGCUUAACACAUGCAAGUCGAACGGAAAGGCCCUGCUUUUGUGGGGUGCUCGAGUGGCGAACGGGUGAGUAACACGUGAGUAACCUGCCCUUGACUUUGGGAUAACUUCAGGAAACUGGGGCUAAUACCGGAUAGGAGCUCCUGCUGCAUGGUGGGGGUUGGAAAGUUUCGGCGGUUGGGGAUGGACUCGCGGCUUAUCAGCUUGUUGGUGGGGUAGUGGCUUACCAAGGCUUUGACGGGUAGCCGGCCUGAGAGGGUGACCGGCCACAUUGGGACUGAGAUACGGCCCAGACUCCUACGGGAGGCAGAAGUGGGGAAUAUUGCACAAUGGGCGGAAGCCUGAUGCAGCAACGCCGCGUGCGGGAUGACGGCCUUCGGGUUGUAAACCGCUUUCGCCUGUGACGAAGCGUGAGUGACGGUAAUGGGUAAAGAAGCACCGGCUAGCUACGUG